GUUGAACGCUGGCGGCGUGCCUAAUACAUGCAAGUCGAGCGAACAGACGAGGAGCUUGCCCCUCUGACGUUAGCGGCGGAUGGGUGAGUAACACGUGGAUAACCUAUCUAUAAGACUGGGAUAACUUCGGGAAACCGGAGCCAAUACCGGAUAAUAUAUUGAACCGCAUGGUUCAAUAGUGAAAGACGGUUUUGCUGUCACUUAUAGGUGGAUCCGCGCCGCAUUAGCUAGUUGGUAAGGUAACGGCUUACCAAGGCGACGAUGCGUAGCCGAUCUGAGAGGAUGAUCAGCCACACUGGAACUGAGACACGGUCCAGACUCCUACGGGAGGCAGCAGUAGGGAAUCUUCCGCAAUGGGCGAAAGCCUGACGGAGCAACGCCGCGUGAGUGAUGAAGGUCUUCGGAUCGUAAAACUCUGUUAUUAGGGAAGAACAAAUGUGUAAGUAACUAUGCACGUCUUGACGGUACCUAAUCAGAAAGCCACGGCUAACUACGUG
RNAcentral lists this ribosomal RNA (497 nucleotides) under uncultured bacterium. RNAcentral describes it as "partial 16S ribosomal RNA". It matches the Rfam family "Bacterial small subunit ribosomal RNA", at positions 28 to 507 of the family's 1533-position model. The record is from RNAcentral.